RNAcentral lists this ribosomal RNA (95 nucleotides) under Streptomyces sp. PBH53. RNAcentral describes it as "partial 16S ribosomal RNA". It matches the Rfam family "Bacterial small subunit ribosomal RNA", at positions 1442 to 1533 of the family's 1533-position model. Lineage: Bacteria; Bacillati; Actinomycetota; Actinomycetes; Kitasatosporales; Streptomycetaceae. The record is from RNAcentral.
GUGGGAGGGAGCUGUCGAAGGUGGGACUGGCGAUUGGGACGAAGUCGUAACAAGGUAGCCGUACCGGAAGGUGCGGCUGGAUCACCUCCUUUCUA